Molecule: ribosomal RNA, 230 nt
Filed under: uncultured bacterium
Lineage: Bacteria
Description: partial 16S ribosomal RNA
Rfam family: Bacterial small subunit ribosomal RNA
Source: RNAcentral
CGGAUGCGGAUCUCGAAAGCCUGUCCCAGUUCGGACUGGAGUCUGCAACCCGACUCCACGAAGUUGGAUUCGCUAGUAAUCGCGCAUCAGCCAUGGCGCGGUGAAUACGUUCCCGGGCCUUGUACACACCGCCCGUCAAGCCAUGGGAGCCGGGGGCGCCUGAAGUCCGGGACCGCGAGGACCGGCCUAGGGCGAAGCUGGUAACUGGGGCUAAGUCGUAACAAGGUAAC